RNAcentral lists this unclassified non-coding RNA (396 nucleotides) under soil metagenome. RNAcentral describes it as "partial contains 5.8S ribosomal RNA, internal transcribed spacer 2, and large subunit ribosomal RNA". The stretch from base 1 to 122 matches the Rfam family "5.8S ribosomal RNA", at positions 35 to 154 of the family's 154-position model. The record is from RNAcentral.
GAUGAAGAACGUAGCGAAAUGCGAUACUUGGUGUGAAUUGCAGAAUCCCGUGAACCAUCGAGUCUUUGAACGCAAGUUGCGCCCGAAGCCAUUAGGCCGAGGGCACGCCUGCCUGGGUGUCACACACCGUUACCCUCGCGCCAACGUCCAUCGUUGGCCGCGGCGCGGGGCGUGCGCUGACCUCCCGCGAGCGGGGUCUCGUGGUUGGUUGAAAAUCGAGUUCGCGGUCGAGGGUGCCGUGAUGAAAUGGUGGAUGGGCGACGCCCGAGGCCAAUCACGCGCGACUCUGUCCGGGUCGGACUCCUGGACCCCUUCGGCGUCUCCGGACGCUCUUUGGCGAGACCUCAGGUCAGGCGGGGCUACCCGCUGAGUUUAAGCAUAUCAAUAAGCGGAGGA